GUUAGUCAAUGGUGUUACUUAUUUUUAUUUAUGAAAUUUAACUAUAAAUUCAGUUCACUUAACUUACGGUACCUAACUUUAUUUUUUCUCUCUCGAAUCCCUCAAGAGUGACUUAAGAAAGGCAUAAGCCUAGUUUGUUAUACACUUUUCAGUGAUUCAGUUUUACCCUAAUAACUUAGAAUGUCGUCUCAUGUGUGUAAACUAUGUUCUAAGACAUUCACUAAAAGGUUUUCUCUGAAGAGACAUUAUAAUAAUGUUCACAACGAAUACAGCCCUAAUGUCGGAGACCCAAGGUGUUCACAAACUGUUCAGUGUGCAAUAUGUGCUUCAGACCUUGUUAAUACAGCCAAUUUGAAUGAUCACUUAUAUUCUAAACAUCAGAUUAAUAUCGAAUCGGAGAAAAUUUCAUUCAUUUGUGAAGAAGAAUUUUUAAAGUGGAAGAAGUGUCAUGAAGAAAGUGAAAAAACUCUGUUUAUCAACAGAAGGGGUAGCUACACAUAUAAAGACAAAAAAAUCACUUACUAUCAGUGCCAUCGAUCAGGUAAUUACAGAACACACUUAUCUUCUGAGUCUUGUCGCAAACGAUCCAUAAAAAUUCAGGGAACAAAGAAAAUAAAUAGUUACUGUCCUGCAAAAAUUAAAGCUAUUACUUCGAUGGUAAAUGGUAGCGUUAAAGUGGAAUUUUGUAAGACUCAUAUAGGACAUCAAGCUGAGAUAGCCCAUUUGAGUAUCCCUAAAGAUGAACGACAAAGUAUUGCAACCAAAAUUGCCCAACAAAUCCCGUUUGAAGCUAUUAUUGAUGAGGCUCGGCAAACUGUUACCAACGAGAUUACAAGGAGACAUCUUCUGACAAAACAAGAUCUUAGAAAUAUAGUGAGAGACUAUAGUUUAGAUGAUGAAUGUGUUAGAAAUAUAGUGAGAGAAUAUAGUUUAAUUAAUGAAUGUGUACGACAUACAAAUGAUGCGAUCAAUGUUGAAAAAGGGGUAGAAAUGGAAAUAGCUAAAAAGUGACAAGAACUCAUUCAUUAGUGUACAAACCUCAGGGUCUUCAUCUGAUUAAUUUUGGGAAACACAGGUUAAACUGAAGUUUUAUAAUUGAAGAUGAGUGUAAGCAGCUUCUUGUCUGGA
Molecule: long non-coding RNA, 1128 nt
Organism: Macrosteles quadrilineatus (aster leafhopper)
Lineage: Eukaryota; Metazoa; Arthropoda; Insecta; Hemiptera; Cicadellidae
Exons: 3
Source: RefSeq, a predicted model, not a curated record